CCACAUUUAUAGAUUACCUUG
Molecule: microRNA, 21 nt
Filed under: Prunus persica (peach)
Lineage: Eukaryota; Viridiplantae; Streptophyta; Magnoliopsida; Rosales; Rosaceae
Description: ppe-miR6291c-5p
Source: miRBase by way of RNAcentral